GAUGAAGAACGCAGUGAAAUGCGAUAAGUAGUGUGAAUUGCAGAAUUCAGUGAAUCAUCGAAUCUUUGAACGCACAUUGCGCCCCCUGGAAUUCCGGGGGGCAUGCCUGUUCGAGCGUCUCAGGGACGAACCCUCGCGCGGGUGUACGCGCGGUCGUGGCUGCGGUGGCGUGCCCGAGGCGGCGGCCACCGCGCUGGAAUCCAUGGGCGGACGCCUGCCGCGUGGCCGAGCGUGAUAUGACGCAUUGGCGCUCGCACGCGGCGAGGCUGCCAGCCCUGGCCCGUCUGUCGGGCGGGGGAGAGCAAGACACGUGAACUCCUCGAAUCAGGUAGGGAUACCCGCUGAACUUAAGCAUAUCAAUAAGCGGAGGA
Molecule: unclassified non-coding RNA, 371 nt
Filed under: soil metagenome
Description: partial contains 5.8S ribosomal RNA, internal transcribed spacer 2, and large subunit ribosomal RNA
Rfam family: 5.8S ribosomal RNA (bases 1-120)
Source: RNAcentral